UACAGAGGGUGCAAGCGUUAAUCGGAAUUACUGGGCGUAAAGCGUGCGUAGACGGUUGCGUAAGUCAGAUGUGAAAGCCCCGGGCUCAACCUGGGAAUUGCAUUUGAGACUGCGUAGCUAGGGUGCGGAAGAGGGAAGCGGAAUUUCCGGUGUAGCGGUGAAAUGCGUAGAUAUCGGAAGGAACACCAGUGGCGAAAGCGGCUCCUGGUCCAGCACCGACGUCAGGCACGAAAGCGUGGGGAGC
RNAcentral lists this ribosomal RNA (244 nucleotides) under uncultured bacterium. RNAcentral's name for it is "partial 16S ribosomal RNA". It matches the Rfam family "Bacterial small subunit ribosomal RNA", at positions 524 to 769 of the family's 1533-position model. The record is from RNAcentral.